UUAGGGGAAACAUUGAAAUUAUGUAAUAUGUAGUAGGGCUGAUAUUAUCCAUUGUUCUGUAAUGCCAGGCCCCAGUGACCAGACAUAUACUUAAUCUUGGUGACCUUUAGGUUUUGUCUGCAUUGUAAACUUGAUCAAGUUUACCUACUGAAAUGUGCUGUGCAAGUGGCAUAUGCGUCAGUUUGCUGAAAGCUGUAUGUGGAACAGUGUCGUGGAAGUAGCCAUUGAAGAGGGUGCCAGUCCUUCAAGGAAAGAGAUACCUUUCAGAUGUGAUAUUUGCAACAAAGGUUUUUCAUGUAGUGACAAUCUUGGUGAACACUGGUGCUCUGUCUCUAAAGACAGUCGUUUUAUAUGUGGAAUUUGUGGAAAGAGGUUUACAAGGAGUGGUGAUCUUAUUAGGCAUAAAAGAACACACAAGCCUUUCAAAUGUGAGUUUUGUGGAAAAGCAUUCUUACAGACUUGGUAUCUCGUGGCUCAUAAUAGAACACAUACAGGUGAGCACCCUUUCAAAUGUGAUCUUUGUGAUAAGAGAUUUACGAAAAAGGAAAGUCUUGUAAGACAUCAAAUAAUGCACAUGGGUGAAAAACCUUAUGCUUGUGAUACUUGUGGUAAAGAAUUUUCUUUUAAAUUAAGUCUUGUGAUACAUCAAUGAACACACACUGGUGAAAAGCCUUACUUAUGUAACAUUUGUGGCAAGGCGCUUUCUCAGAAAGGAAGUCUUGUUGGGCAUGGAAGGACACACACUGGUGAAAAGCCUUUCAAAUGCGAUAUUUGUGGGACAGGAUUCUCAGAGAGAGGAAGUCUUGUGAUACAUCAUAGAACACAUUUUGCAGAAAAACCAUUAAAAUGUGACGUUUGUGGGAAAGGAUUCUCUUCAAGAAGAGAAAUAGUGAGACACGUAAGGACACAUACCGGUGAAAAGCCCUUCGUUUGUGACUUUUGUGGGAGAGGAUUCUUAGAGAAGUCAAGGCUUGGAAGACAUCAAAGAAAUAAGAAACACUUUGGAAGGUAAUGUCAGAACAUGUAUUUAUAAAAAGUUUUUUGUCCCAUGAUGGUAUAGAAAAGGUUACUGUUGUUGUACAUGCAAUGAUCAAACUGGUGAAUCUGACAUUCAUAGUUAAGUGUACUUACCUGCAAUGUUAAAUGUGAUACAGCAUACAUUAUUAACUCUCAGUGACAAGCAUUAUUGAAACCACUAUUUCAGAGUGCCAAGCUAUUUUGUGUUAAAAUAGUUCAACAGAAAUAAAUCAUAAAAAAUGUAAAUUUUUUAAGUUAAAACUAUUCUUCUGUUUUUUCAAAUAAUAAAGAAAAGUUCCAUCUUU
Zootermopsis nevadensis is the source of this 1322-nucleotide non-coding RNA. NCBI's taxonomy places the organism in Eukaryota, Metazoa, Arthropoda, Insecta, Blattodea, Termopsidae. The record is from RefSeq and is a predicted model, not a curated record.